Molecule: ribosomal RNA, 433 nt
Filed under: uncultured bacterium
Lineage: Bacteria
Description: partial 16S ribosomal RNA
Rfam family: Bacterial small subunit ribosomal RNA
Source: RNAcentral
AACGAACGCUGGCGGCAUGCCUAACACAUGCAAGUCGAACGAGACCUUCGGGUCUAGUGGCUCACGGGUGCGUAACGCGUGGGAACCUGCCCUUAGGUUCGGAAUAACUCCCCGAAAGGGGUUCUAAUACCGGAUAAUGUCUUCGGACCAAAGAUUUAUCGCCUUUGGAUGGGCCCGCGUUGGAUUAGCUAGUUGGUAGGGUAAAAGCCUACCAAGGCGACGAUCCAUAGCUGGUCUGAGAGGAUGAUCAGCCACACUGGGACUGAGACACGGCCCAGACUCCUACGGGAGGCAGAAGUGGGGAAUAUUGAACAAUGGGCGAAAGGCUGAUCCAGCAAUGCCGCGUGAGUGAUGAAGGCCUUAGGGUUGUAAAGCUCUUUUACCCGGGAUGAUAAUGACAGUACCGGGAGAAUAAGCUCCGGCUAACUCCGUG